RNAcentral lists this ribosomal RNA (464 nucleotides) under uncultured bacterium. RNAcentral describes it as "partial 16S ribosomal RNA". It matches the Rfam family "Bacterial small subunit ribosomal RNA", at positions 339 to 795 of the family's 1533-position model. The record is from RNAcentral.
CUACGGGCGGCAGCAGUGGGGAAUAUUGCACAAUGGGCGCAAGUCUGAUGCAGCCAUGCCGCGUGUAUGAAGAAGGCCUUCGGGUUGUAAAGUACUUUCAGCGGGGAGGAAGGGAGUAAAGUUAAUACCUUUGCUCAUUGACGUUACCCGCAGAAGAAGCACCGGCUAACUCCGUGCCAGCAGCCGCGGUAAUACGGAGGGUGCAAGCGUUAAUCGGAAUUACUGGGCGUAAAGCGCACGCAGGCGGUUUGUUAAGUCAGAUGUGAAAUCCCCGGGCUCAACCUGGGAACUGCAUCUGAUACUGGCAAGCUUGAGUCUCGUAGAGGGGGGUAGAAUUCCAGGUGUAGCGGUGAAAUGCGUAGAGAUCUGGAGGAAUACCGGUGGCGAAGGCGGCCCCCUGGACGAAGACUAACGCUCAGGUGCGAAAGCGUGGGGAGCAAACAGGAUUAGAUACCCCUGUAGUC